RNAcentral lists this ribosomal RNA (603 nucleotides) under uncultured fungus. RNAcentral describes it as "eukaryotic LSU rRNA". It matches the Rfam family "Eukaryotic large subunit ribosomal RNA", at positions 23 to 641 of the family's 3401-position model. Lineage: Eukaryota; Fungi. The record is from RNAcentral.
ACCCGCUGAACUUAAGCAUACCAAUAAGCGGAGGAAAAGAAACCAACAGGGAUUGCCCUAGUAACGGCGAGUGAAGCGGCAACAGCUCAAAUUUGAAAUCUGGCGUCUUUGGCGUCCGAGUUGUAAUUUGCAGAGGGCGCUUUGGCAUUGGCAGCGGUCCAAGUUCCUUGGAACAGGACGUCACAGAGGGUGAGAAUCCCGUACGUGGUCGCUAGCCUUUACCGUGUAAAGCCCCUUCGACGAGUCGAGUUGUUUGGGAAUGCAGCUCUAAAUGGGAGGUAAAUUUCUUCUAAAGCUAAAUACUGGCCAGAGACCGAUAGCGCACAAGUAGAGUGAUCGAAAGAUGAAAAGCACUUUGGAAAGAGAGUUAAAAAGCACGUGAAAUUGUUGAAAGGGAAGCGCUUGCAGCCAGACUUGCCUGUAGUUGCUCAUCCGGGUUUUUACCCGGUGCACUCUUCUAUAGGCAGGCCAGCAUCAGUUUGGGCGGUUGGAUAAAGGUCUCUGUCAUGUACCUCUCUUCGGGGAGAACUUAUAGGGGAGACGACAUGCAACCAGCCCGGACUGAGGUCCGCGCAUCUGCUAGGAUGCUGGCGUAAUGGCUGU